GGGGUGUGCUCAGAGCAGGGGGCCCAAAGAAUGGCUCCCCUGUUUACAACACACCCAACAGGAAUCUGGGCCCAUGGCAAUGAGGGGCACGACACUUGUGGCCUCCCUAUGAGCAAAUGCCCUACAGGU
This 129-nucleotide small nucleolar RNA is filed under the name Castor canadensis (American beaver). RNAcentral's name for it is "Small nucleolar RNA SNORA11 (ENSCCNG00000018038.1)". It matches the Rfam family "Small nucleolar RNA SNORA11". Rfam says of the family: U107 (SNORA11) is a member of the H/ACA class of snoRNAs that guide the sites of modification of uridines to pseudouridines. This snoRNA was identified by RT-PCR from blood cells and its expression confirmed by Northern blot analysis. There is no predicted target for this guide snRNA. Lineage: Eukaryota; Metazoa; Chordata; Mammalia; Rodentia; Castoridae. The record is from Rfam by way of RNAcentral.